RNAcentral lists this transfer RNA (85 nucleotides) under Neisseria meningitidis. RNAcentral's name for it is "tRNA-Leu(tag)". It matches the Rfam family "tRNA". Rfam says of the family: Transfer RNA (tRNA) molecules are approximately 80 nucleotides in length. Lineage: Bacteria; Pseudomonadati; Pseudomonadota; Betaproteobacteria; Neisseriales; Neisseriaceae. The record is from RNAcentral.
GCGGACGUGGCGAAAUUGGUAGACGCACCAGAUUUAGGUUUUGGCGCCGAGAGGUGUGAGAGUUCGAGUCUCUCCGUCCGCACCA